This is a small nucleolar RNA of Phodopus roborovskii (desert hamster), 134 nucleotides long. RefSeq annotates it as small nucleolar RNA SNORA70. The record is from RefSeq and is a predicted model, not a curated record. Lineage: Eukaryota; Metazoa; Chordata; Mammalia; Rodentia; Cricetidae. The transcript has a single exon.
CUGCUACCAAGUAAGUCAACCAGUUCCUUUCUUCAUGGGGUCCUUGUGUGCAAUAGUCAUGAGCAGCAGCCUCCUUGGGAGUGCAUUCAUCCUGUUGCCAGUAGGAGUUGUCCCAAGGGACAUUGGAGACAGUU